Molecule: ribosomal RNA, 467 nt
Filed under: uncultured bacterium
Lineage: Bacteria
Description: partial 16S ribosomal RNA
Rfam family: Bacterial small subunit ribosomal RNA
Source: RNAcentral
ACGAACGCUGGCGGCGUGCUUAACACAUGCAAGUCGAACGGAAAGGCCCUGCUUUUGUGGGGUGCUCGAGUGGCGAACGGGUGAGUAACACGUGAGUAACCUGCCCUUGACUUUGGGAUAACUUCAGGAAACUGGGGCUAAUACCGGAUAGGAGCUCCUGCUGCAUGGUGGGGGUUGGAAAGUUUCGGCGGUUGGGGAUGGACCCGCGGCUUAUCAGCUUGUUGGUGGGGUAGUGGCUUACCAAGGCUUUGACGGGUAGCCGGCCUGAGAGGGUGACCGGCCACAUUGGGACUGAGAUACGGCCCAGACUCCUACGGGAGGCAGCAGUGGGGAAUAUUGCACAAUGGGCGGAAGCCUGAUGCAGCAACGCCGCGUGCGGGAUGACGGCCUUCGGGUUGUAAACCGCUUUCGCCUGUGACGAAGCGUGAGUGACGGUAAUGGGUAAAGAAGCACCAGCUAACUACGUG